Molecule: ribosomal RNA, 433 nt
Filed under: uncultured bacterium
Lineage: Bacteria
Description: partial 16S ribosomal RNA
Rfam family: Bacterial small subunit ribosomal RNA
Source: RNAcentral
AGCGAACGCUGGCGGCAGGCCUAACACAUGCAAGUCGAACGACCUCUUCGGAGUUAGUGGCGGACGGGUGAGUAACACGUGGGAACGUGCCUUUUGGUUCGGAAUAACUCAUUUAAACUUGUGCUAAUACCGAAUGUGCCCUUCGGGGAAAAGAUUUAUCGCCAUUAGAGCGGCCCGCGUCUGUUUAGCUAGUUGGUGAGGUAACGGCUCACCAAGGCUACGAUCAGUAGCUGGUCUGAGAGGAUGACCAGCCACACUGGGCCUGAGACACGGCCCAGAAUCCUACGGGAGGCAGCAGUGGGGAAUCUUGCGAAAUGGGCGAAAGCCUGACGCAGCCAUGCCGCGUGAAUGAUGAAGGUCUUAGGAUUGUAAAAUUCUUUCACCGGGGACGAUAAUGACGGUACCCGGAGAAGAAGCCCCGGCUAACUUCGUG